ACUCCUACGGGAGGCAGCAGUAGGGAAUCUUCCACAAUGGACGAAAGUCUGAUGGAGCAACGCCGCGUGAACGAUGAAGGCCUUCGGGUCGUAAAGUUCUGUUGUAAGGGAAGAACAAGUGCCGCAGGCAAUGGCGGCACCUUGACGGUACCUUGCGAGAAAGCCACGGCUAACUACGUGCCAGCAGCCGCGGUAAUACGUAGGUGGCAAGCGUUGUCCGGAAUUAUUGGGCGUAAAGCGCGCGCAGGCGGCCUCUUAAGUCUGAUGUGAAAGCCCCGGCUCAACCGGGGGAGGGCCAUUGGAAACUGGGAGGCUUGAGUAUAGGAGAGAAGAGUGGAAUUCCACGUGUAGCGGUGAAAUGCGUAGAGAUGUGGAGGAACACCAGUGGCGAAGGCGACUCUUUGGCCUAUAACUGACGCUGAGGCGCGAAAGCGUGGGGAGCAAACAGGAUUAGAUACCCUGGUAGGAUAGCG
Molecule: ribosomal RNA, 473 nt
Filed under: uncultured bacterium
Lineage: Bacteria
Description: bacterial SSU rRNA
Rfam family: Bacterial small subunit ribosomal RNA
Source: RNAcentral